This 403-nucleotide ribosomal RNA is filed under the name uncultured bacterium. RNAcentral's name for it is "partial 16S ribosomal RNA". It matches the Rfam family "Bacterial small subunit ribosomal RNA", at positions 28 to 526 of the family's 1533-position model. The record is from RNAcentral.
GACGAACGCUGGCGGCGUGCCUAAUACAUGCAAGUCGAACGCAGUGGGGACGGGUGAGGAACACGUGGGUAACCUCCCAUCAGAGGGGAUAACACGUGGAAACAGGUGCUAAACCGAUAUUGAAGGAUGGACCCGCUGUGCAUUGGCUAGCUGGUGAGGUAACGGCUCACCAAGGCCACGAGGCAUAGCCGACCGGAGAGGGUGACCGGCCACACGGGAAAUGAGACACGGCCCAGACGCCUGCGGGAGGCAGCAGUAGGGAAUAUUCGGCAAUGGACGAAAGUCUGACCGAGCAACGCCGCGUGUAUGAAGAAGGUUUUCGGAUCGUAAAGCUCUGUUGUUAGUGAGGCGUUAUCUGCCAAGGAAGCCACGGCUAACUACGUGCCAGCAGCCGCGGUAAUAC